AUGUCGACUACCUUGCUAAAGAGAAGUUGACUCGCGAUCGAGGUUAAGACUGUAUUAAUUACGGCCACGACGAAUAGCCUGAACGAUUAGCAGCGCUCCGCUCGGUCAUUUAAUUAAUUUUCACUGUUUGCCGAAGCCGCGUUUGUCGAGUCGGCUCAUCGAUCAAUCGUUCGAAGAAUGCCGUCCAUUGUAAAAGAUAGAGCCGGCUCUCGUAGACAAAAGGGUACUCCGGAGGAUAAAACGAGAGGUUAUUAAUCUUGCAACUUGCUUUUGACGGUCACGGAUGCAGUCUUUAUUGAGAAAGUGGGCUGGCGUGUUGCUGCAUCUACUUUGAUUCUAUAGCUUUGUCGUCGGAUCAACACGAUGAAUUCGAAUGGAGUCUUUCGAAUUUAUUAGAACUAUUCUUCCCAAACGAAAGAUACAAAGGAUGAAGACUAAGGGAUGUUUCCCUUAAGUAAGAAACAACUGUUUGGGACGAAUUUAUCGAUCACCUGACUGAGCAGUUCUUUUUACGACUUAGUUACAAAGACAUCAAGUUAUCCGGAUGACAAAAAGGACCACUUAUUAAUCUCGGUAGAAAGGUUGGACAUGAUAGGCUCCGUGUUAAACGAUUCCACGUUUGUGGGGAAUAACCUAUUCGUAAGCCAUGGCCCGCCGUUUUACUCUCGGUCUUUUCUUUCCCCUUUAAUACCUUAUCUUUUUUGUUCUAUGACAUCCACAGUUCUUUUCGGUAUUUUAGUAGUACGAAAAAAAGAUGGACAUAAAAUAAAUAAAUUAGAAAUAAGAUUUGAAAUAAGAAAAAUAAUAUUUCUUAACGUGUAUUUUUGAAUACAUUUUGCAAAAAACUUAAAUAAUGAACUUCAAUAAUAGUAUAAAGACAUAUUUGCAGUGUUUCGAUCACAAUUAUACUAUUAUCCAAUUAAUUAUAAUUGCUAUUUGAUAACACUAGCAGGAAAAGCCGAAUCAAAAUGCUCCAUAAAAAGAUUAGAAAAUAUCGUUUUCAUAAAUACAAUUGUUUGCAGUCUUUUCAUUAAAAAGAAACAUAGAUAUUUUCCUACAUUUACUGAUGAUAGUAAAUUAUUUUUAAUACAGAUAAUUAUUUGAUGAUCGUUUCGAAAAUAUAGGAAAGAUAUAUUUAAUAGAACUAGACAUAACACUGGUAAUCAUAGUGCUAAAGAAUGUGAUUUAUAAAUAACUCUUCAUAAACAUAAAAUAUUUAAAAGAACAUUGUAUACCAUGUAUUAGUAAUGUACUGCCAUAACGUACAUGAUACAGUACUGCAAUAAUGUAGGAAGUGAAAGCAAAAAGGUUCAUUCCGAACUUGUAGAUUUCAAAUAAGAUAUCCACUGUAUAAUGCUGCCUCUAUUAUAUACCGAUUCCCUUUCCUUGAUCCCUUGCCACCCUUGUCAUCGGUCAGGAUCAGGAUCCUCUGAAAAUCCCACCAGUGUCUAGCCCACAGUUUCACCCUUGAAUUUCUUUUGAAGCCAGAAAACGAAUGAGAGGGAGAGUGAAUUGGCGAAAGAGAAGGUCAAUGACCCCGCAAGAUUCUAAGCUCGCUUUCAUAGCAACUAUAUCUGAACAGGAAACUCGGUUACCUCGAAGGAAUUUCGGUAAAAUAUAAAAAGUGUAGCCGAAGAUCUAUACAAUGAUCAUUCGUUCAUUACAAUAAUUACAAAAAUUCCAUAAUGUGGUCUUUUCCCUUAAUUUCACGCGAUAAAUGUCUUUGAGGAUUCAUUGUUCAGCGAAUGAGUUUUGACUCUUUUUCUUUUUUGAAA
This is a long non-coding RNA of Bombus terrestris (buff-tailed bumblebee), 1775 nucleotides long. RefSeq lists it as uncharacterized. The transcript has 2 exons. The record is from RefSeq and is a predicted model, not a curated record. NCBI's taxonomy places the organism in Eukaryota, Metazoa, Arthropoda, Insecta, Hymenoptera, Apidae.